Molecule: transfer RNA, 55 nt
Filed under: Perkinsus marinus ATCC 50983
Lineage: Eukaryota; Perkinsozoa; Perkinsida; Perkinsidae
Rfam family: tRNA
About the family: Transfer RNA (tRNA) molecules are approximately 80 nucleotides in length. Their secondary structure includes four short double-helical elements and three loops (D, anti-codon, and T loops).
Source: Rfam by way of RNAcentral
GUAGAGCGUCUGCUUCGUAAGCAGAAGGUCGUCAGUUCAAUCCUGGCAAGUGGCU